AACGCACAUUGCGCCCGCCAGUAUUCUGGCGGGCAUGCCUGUUCGAGCGUCAUUUCAACCCUCAGGCCCCCAGUGCCUGGCGUUGGGGAUCGGCGCGGGCCCCGCCUCCGUCCUCCGGGACGGGCGCGGGUCGCCUGCCGGCCCCGAAAUUCAGUGGCGGUCUCGCUGUAGUCCCCCUCUGCGUAGUAGCACAACUCGCAUUGGAGCUCGGCGGUGGCCAUGCCGUAAAACACCCCACUUCUGAAAGUUGACCUCGGAUCAGGUAGGAAUACCCGCUGAACUUAA
RNAcentral lists this unclassified non-coding RNA (285 nucleotides) under uncultured fungus. Its description in RNAcentral is "partial contains 5.8S ribosomal RNA, internal transcribed spacer 2, and large subunit ribosomal RNA". The stretch from base 1 to 52 matches the Rfam family "5.8S ribosomal RNA", at positions 103 to 154 of the family's 154-position model. The record is from RNAcentral. Lineage: Eukaryota; Fungi.